RNAcentral lists this signal recognition particle RNA (279 nucleotides) under Vombatus ursinus (common wombat). RNAcentral describes it as "Metazoan signal recognition particle RNA (ENSVURG00010014146.1)". It matches the Rfam family "Metazoan signal recognition particle RNA". Rfam says of the family: The signal recognition particle (SRP) is a universally conserved ribonucleoprotein. It is involved in the co-translational targeting of proteins to membranes. The eukaryotic SRP consists of a 300-nucleotide 7S RNA and six proteins: SRPs 72, 68, 54, 19, 14, and 9. The record is from Rfam by way of RNAcentral. Lineage: Eukaryota; Metazoa; Chordata; Mammalia; Diprotodontia; Vombatidae.
GCCUCCUCAAGAGUCAGAGGAGAUCCUGGGCUCUAUGUGGAUCACUUGAGCUCAGGAGUUCUAAGCUACAGUAAGUUAAACUGAUUUGUUGUCUGCACUAAGUCCAGCCCCAACAUGGUGAGUCCCCAAGAGUGGGGAACUAUCAGGCUGACUAAAGAGGGGCAAACCAGCCCAGGCUGAAAAAAGAGUGGGUCAAAGCUCUUGGACUAAUCAACAGUAGGAUUGAGACUAUGAGUGGUCCCUGUACUGUCAGCCUGGGUGAGAUAGGGAAACCAUAUU